CCAAGAAGAUUGAAAUUCAGGAAACUGAGCCAGUAUGAAGGAUUGAUCUUCCCAAGUGGCUUCCUCCUCAGGCAGGUUGAGCCAUUUGAUGAGACCCUGAAGUUCAAGCACCUGCUGAGAAUCCCCAGAAAUGGUUCUUGUCUUAAGUUCUUAGGAGCAAUGAUGAUGCGGUCCUCUUGUUGGGAAGGUAAAGUUUGCACAAUUAUUGCACCAUCACCAUUCUUCUUCUUCAUGAAAAAAUAGAUGACUGGUGGCUGAAUCAGGCAACUGAAGCUUGUAGGCCGCUUUCCCUAUCUUAGAAACAAUCUGA
Molecule: unclassified non-coding RNA, 310 nt
Filed under: Hevea brasiliensis (rubber tree)
Lineage: Eukaryota; Viridiplantae; Streptophyta; Magnoliopsida; Malpighiales; Euphorbiaceae
Source: RNAcentral